This 347-nucleotide ribosomal RNA is filed under the name uncultured bacterium. RNAcentral describes it as "bacterial SSU rRNA". It matches the Rfam family "Bacterial small subunit ribosomal RNA", at positions 29 to 402 of the family's 1533-position model. The record is from RNAcentral.
AACGAACGCUGGCGGCAGGCCUCAAACAUGCAAGUCUAGGGGGUGCAGCAAUGCAUCACCGGCGGACGGGUGCGUAACGCGUGGGAAUAUACCUUUUGGUUCGGAACAACUGCGGGAAACUGCAGCUAAUACCGAAUGUGCCCUAACGGGGAAGAUUUAUCGCCAAAGGAUUAGCCCGCGUAGGAUUAGCUAGUUGGUGAGGUAAUGGCUCACCAAGGCUCCGAUCCUUAGCUGUUCNGAGAGGGUGACCGGCCACACUGGGACUGAGACACGGCCCAGACUCCUACGGGAGGCAGCAGUGGGGAAUAUUGCGCAAUGGGCGAAAGCCUGACGCAGCGACGCCGCGU